This 329-nucleotide ribosomal RNA is filed under the name uncultured bacterium. RNAcentral describes it as "bacterial SSU rRNA". It matches the Rfam family "Bacterial small subunit ribosomal RNA", at positions 28 to 334 of the family's 1533-position model. The record is from RNAcentral.
GACGAACGCUGGCGGCGUGCCUAAUACAUGCAAGUCGAGCGAGCUUGCCUAGAUGAUUUUAGUGCUUGCACUAAAUGAAACUAGAUACAAGCGAGCGGCGGACGGGUGAGUAACACGUGGGUGACCUGCCCUGCACUUCGGGAUAAGCCUGGGAAACUGGGUCUAAUACCGGAUAGGACUGCACCGUGAGGGUGUGGUGGAAAGUUUUUUCGGUGUGGGAUGGGCCCGCGGCCUAUCAGCUUGUUGGUGGGGUAAUGGCCUACCAAGGCGGCGACGGGUAGCCGGCCUGAGAGGGUGGACGGCCACAUUGGGACUGAGACACGGCCCAG